CAUUGUGCUUGCACAGAUGACGACCGGCGCACGGGUGCGUAACGCGUAUAGAACCUACCUUUUACAGAGGAAUAGCCUUUAGAAAUGAAGAUUAAUGCCUCAUAGUAUUGUAGACUGGCAUCAGUUUAUAAUUAAAGAUUUAUCGGUAAAAGAUGGCUAUGCGUCCUAUUAGUUAGUUGGUAAGGUAACGGCUUACCAAGACAGCGAUAGGUAGGGGUCCUGAGAGGGAGAUCCCCCACACUGGUACUGAGACACGGACCAGACUCCUACGGGAGGCAGCAGUGAGGAAUAUUGGACAAUGGAGGAGACUCUGAUCCAGCCAUGCCGCGUGUAGGAAGAAUGCCCUAUGGGUUGUAAACUACUUUUAUACAGGAAGAAACACUGGUAUGUAUACCAGCUUGACGGUACUGUAAGAAUAAGGACCGGCUAACUCCGUGCCAGCAGCCGCGGUAAUACGGAGUGUCCGAGCGUUAUCCGGAAUCAUUGGGUUUAAAGGGUCCGCAGGCGGUCUAUUAAGUCAGAGGUGAAAUCCCAUAGCUCAACUAUGGAACUGCCUUUGAUACUGGUUGACUUGAGUCAUAUGGAAGUAGAUAGAAUGUG
This 600-nucleotide ribosomal RNA is filed under the name uncultured Polaribacter sp. Its description in RNAcentral is "bacterial SSU rRNA". It matches the Rfam family "Bacterial small subunit ribosomal RNA", at positions 72 to 670 of the family's 1533-position model. The record is from RNAcentral. Lineage: Bacteria; Pseudomonadati; Bacteroidota; Flavobacteriia; Flavobacteriales; Flavobacteriaceae.